UCGCUCCUACCGAUUGAAUGAUCCGGUGAAAUCUCCGGACCGGUCGCACACAUCGGGUCUCUCGAAGCGUGCUUUUGGAAAGUUGAUUAAACCUUAUCAUUUAGAGGAAGGAG
This 113-nucleotide ribosomal RNA is filed under the name uncultured eukaryote. RNAcentral describes it as "partial small subunit ribosomal RNA". It matches the Rfam family "Eukaryotic small subunit ribosomal RNA", at positions 1676 to 1785 of the family's 1831-position model. The record is from RNAcentral.